RNAcentral lists this ribosomal RNA (217 nucleotides) under uncultured Bacillus sp. RNAcentral's name for it is "partial 16S ribosomal RNA". It matches the Rfam family "Bacterial small subunit ribosomal RNA", at positions 123 to 334 of the family's 1533-position model. Lineage: Bacteria; Bacillati; Bacillota; Bacilli; Caryophanales; Bacillaceae. The record is from RNAcentral.
AACCUGCCUAUGAGACUGGGUUAACUCCGGGAAACCGGGGCUAAUACCGGAUAAUCUUUUCUACACAUGUAGAAAAGUUGAAAGAUGGUUUCGGCUAUCACUCAUAGAUGGGCCCGCGGCGCAUUAGCUAGUUGGUGAGGUAACGGCUCACCAAGGCGACGAUGCGUAGCCGACCUGAGAGGGUGAUCGGCCACACUGGGACUGAGACACGGCCCAG